Long non-coding RNA from Pipra filicauda (Wire-tailed manakin), 921 nucleotides. RefSeq lists it as uncharacterized. The record is from RefSeq and is a predicted model, not a curated record. The transcript is spliced from 3 exons. NCBI's taxonomy places the organism in Eukaryota, Metazoa, Chordata, Aves, Passeriformes, Pipridae.
GCGCUGCAGCCGCAAGCGGCCCUCCCUGGGCUGCAGCAUCCCCCGCCAGCGGCGUGUGUCCAGCACCACCACGCGGCCCCGGCCGCACCCGCACCGGGCAGGGGGUGAGAGCCGGGGCACAGCGAGCCCAGGAACCGGGGUGUCGGCCCCCACCCCGAGAUCAUAGAAUCAGCUGGGUUGGAAAGGACCAUCUGGCAACAAGGCUCUCGGCUGCCGCAGCACGGAUUAUCCAGGUCCUGAUAGGGAAGUGGAAAGUACAGCCCAAGACGCACAUGCAUACCGGGAAAUUAAUUCAGCAGUAUAGGCCUGGGAGGAGAGCAGUCAUCCCACACGGCUGCUGCCAGCGCUGGUUGAAGACAGGUGAGGAUCCCAUCAGACUGUCAGCAGAAUGAGAACCGUAGCUGCUCUCAGAGCCAUUGGGGCUUUGUGGCAUCCCAGCUUCACUCAUGCCUGACAUUGGUUCCUCAAAGACAUCACUGCCUAGGACCCCAUGGCCAUGUACAUUACCCUCCUCAUUUUCCUGUGGCUCCAUUUUCACCUGUGCCAAGUUCCAGAGUGGGGAAGCAUUCACCUCAGCCCCUAGAAAAAGAAAAAGCACAUGGUAAUAACUAAGUAAAAAGAUAAAUCAUAAACAGCAUGCAGAUACAAGGGACAGCAGCGCUGAUAAAGACGGAGCAAAAGCAAAGCCACAGGUGAACUAGGCUGGGGGGAAAACCAACAAAAUGCAACAAGCACUGUGAUUAAUUUAAAAAAAAAACCUGUUGGCUUUUUUGUUCUAACAGCCCAGCAACUGCCACUCUAAAAAACAUCCUAUCCUUUCACUGCAAGCCUCCAGGUCAUUUUCUCCAUGAGAAACAACUUCAUAUGACUCUCCAGAAGGAGUACCUAAGCAGCAGUGAGUUCACCAACAGCACAUGAACU